This 501-nucleotide ribosomal RNA is filed under the name uncultured bacterium. RNAcentral describes it as "partial 16S ribosomal RNA". It matches the Rfam family "Bacterial small subunit ribosomal RNA", at positions 28 to 506 of the family's 1533-position model. The record is from RNAcentral.
GACGAACGCUGGCGGCGUGCCUAAUACAUGCAAGUCGAACGAACCGCGACUAGGUGCUUGCACUUGGUCAAGGUGAGUGGCGAACGGGUGAGUAACACGUGGGUAACCUACCUCAUAGUGGGGGAUAACAGUCGGAAACGACUGCUAAUACCGCAUAGGACAUAGGAUCACAUGAUCCAGUGAGGAAAGGUGGCGCAAGCUAUCGCUAAGAGAUGGACCCGCGGUGCAUUAGCUGGUUGGUCGGGUAAAGGCCUACUAAGGCGGUGAUGGAUAGCCGACCGUAGGGGGGGAUCGGCCACAUUGGGGAUGAGACGCGGCCCAAAGUCCUACGGGAGGCAGCAGUAGGGAAGCUGGCGAAAUGGGCGGAAGUUUGACGGAGCAACGGCGGGUGGGUGAAGAAGGGCCGCGGAUCGGAAAGCGCUGUUGUUAGAGAAGAACAGCGCAUAGAGUAACGGUUAUGCGUGUGACGGUAUCUAUCCAGAAAGCCACGGCUAACUACGU